This 479-nucleotide ribosomal RNA is filed under the name uncultured bacterium. RNAcentral describes it as "bacterial SSU rRNA". It matches the Rfam family "Bacterial small subunit ribosomal RNA", at positions 28 to 521 of the family's 1533-position model. The record is from RNAcentral.
GACGAACGCUGGCGGCGUGCCUAACACAUGCAAGUCGAACGGGGUUACGAGAGCUUGCUCUUGUAACUUAGUGGCGAACGGGUGAGUAACGCGUGAGAAACCUGCCUCUCAGUGGGGGACAACAGUUGGAAACGACUGCUAAUACCGCAUAACACUUUAGUACCGCAUGGUACAGAAGUCAAAGCUUUAUGUGCUGAGAGAUGGUCUCGCGUCUGAUUAGCUAGAUGGCGGGGUAACGGCCCACCAUGGCGACGAUCAGUAGCCGGUCUGAGAGGAUGAACGGCCACAUUGGGACUGAGACACGGCCCAGACUCCUACGGGAGGCAGCAGUGGGGGAUAUUGCACAAUGGGGGAAACCCUGAUGCAGCAACGCCGCGUGAAGGAAGAAGGUCUUCGGAUUGUAAACUUUUGUCGCAAAGGAAGAUAAUGACGGUACUUUGUGAGAAAGCCACGGCUAACUACGUGCCAGCAGCCGCGGU